UACUCUAGGAGAGCUGUGUUCUGAAAA
This 27-nucleotide non-coding RNA is filed under the name Rattus norvegicus (Norway rat). Lineage: Eukaryota; Metazoa; Chordata; Mammalia; Rodentia; Muridae. The record is from RNAcentral.